GUACACGCUGUGACUAGCAUAUCAAUAAGCGGAGGAAAAGAAACUAACAAGGAUUCCCCCUAGUAACGGCGAGUGAAGCGGGAAGAGCUCAAAUUUGAAAUCUUAAAGGGUUUCCCUUUACGAAUUGUAGUUUAAAGAAGUGUUUUCUGUUGAGGUUUUGGUAAAAGUUCUUUGGAAUAGGACAUCAUAGAGGGGUGAGAAUCCCGUAUUUGACCUUUACUUUCAACUUUGUGAUACACUUUCAAAGAGUCGGAUUGUUUGGGAAUGCAGUCCAAAAUGGGUGGUAAAUUUCAUCUAAAGCUAAAUAUUGGCGAGAGACCGAUAGCGAACAAGUACCGUGAGGGAAAGAUGAAAAGAACUUUGAAAAGAGAGUUAAACAGUACGUGAAAUUGUCAAAAGGGAAGCGUUUGACACCAGUGUUGUUUUUCUGAAAAUCAAUUAAAGAACUGUUUAUGCUAAGCUGUUUAGACUUUAUCAGCUAUCUGUUUAGUUUUGAGCUUUUCUUUAAUGCACUUUUCAGUUAACAAGUCAACAUCAAUUUCUUUUGCUGUAAAAAAGCUUGAGGAAGGUGGCUUGAGAUUCGUCUUAAGUGUUUAUAGCCUCUUGCCUAUGCAGUCGGAGAGAUUGAGGUCUGCAGCGUAGAUCCUUCGGGGCUAAAUGCAUUUGUGCUAAGUUAUAGCAUUUUAUAGACAACUUGUUGACUAUGAUUUGUCUUGUAGCUUACUCGCUUAUGUUAUUUUACCUACGCUUAGGAUGUUGAGUCGUAGAGCACGCAG
This 776-nucleotide ribosomal RNA is filed under the name uncultured Neocallimastigales. RNAcentral's name for it is "partial large subunit ribosomal RNA". It matches the Rfam family "Eukaryotic large subunit ribosomal RNA", at positions 22 to 628 of the family's 3401-position model. Lineage: Eukaryota; Fungi; Neocallimastigomycota; Neocallimastigomycetes; Neocallimastigales. The record is from RNAcentral.